UCUCAUAUUGCAAUUAAGGAAAAAGGUACAUUUUAGAGACAAGCACAUAAUAAAUCAUGCCUGUAGUGUUUAAGUUAUGAGCAUCUAAAUUAUAAAGGGUUAAAGUUAUUGAAAGAUAAAAAUAUAACCAUUGUAUUACCCAAGAUUGCUAAAAAGAAAAAAGUUUGUAAAGAAUGCAUUUUUGACAAAAUUUAUUACCUCCCAUUAACAUUUUUUAGAGGGUUUAAGUUUCAUUCGAGUUAGUGCAUGCUUAUAUUUGUAGUCUUAUGUUGACGCAAACUUUAAACAACAAGAAACAUUUUUUUUUUGUUAUUUGAUGAUCAUACAAGGAUGGUGUGUAAAAGUCUGAAACUAAGGACCCUGAAUGCCCUUCUCGUUUAGUUUGAAUUGAGGACAGAAGUGUGUAUGUGUGGCUGAAGUUGAGUGAGCAUGGUGAACCUGCACAUGGAUAAAGUCUGAAACCUAAUCCAAACGUGGAUAUGUAUUUGUGAGUGUAGGUCACUUAGUAAAUAUACCUGCAGUAGCAAUUAUAAGAUUUGUAUAUGUGUGUUAUCCAUGCAAUGGGGGGAUUCAUUUUACCUCUCCUCAAUGAUGACAUAAACGGUAUUGUACGAUGAAAUCUUGAAAAUAACCUUUCGAGUGUAUAUGUGGUUUCUGGCUCACCCGCCAUCCCUUUUGCUCCGAUAUGGUCACAGGGAGACUCGGAAUCAAAUUCCGAGCGAAAAUAAAAAAAUUUAACCUUUUCUGGCAGUCGGCAGUGGCUCCAGUGCGGCAGCGAUGGGGUUGGUCUUCUUCUCCAGCGUCUGAUUUUUCUUCUUCGGCGAGGACAGGUGUGGCUAGGGUUAGAGUUUCCUGAGACGCGAUGUUUAAAUACUUAUCCUGUGUCGAUUUGGGUCCUCGCUCCACGUCGACGUGGAGCGAGGAGAGUUGUCGGAUCGUUGCUUAUUUAGGCUGAUUGUGUGAAAAAAUCUGGACCGUUCAUCGUGAUUAAUCUUGUCCGAUCGCGUCUAAAGAGAGAAUGCAUCUGAGUUGUCUGUGUGCGCGAGACGCAAUCGGGGCCGUUGGAUCAUUGGGCAUGCGAAUUGCCUGCGGACAUCGAUGUCAGUGUGUUUUGCCACGCGGCGUGCUCUAAUUCUUCGUAGCUGCUGACUGAAUUGUCCCACAUCACUAAUUUUUUAUUUUUUUACGAUUUUGUCCCAUAUUUUCAAAUUUUCUUUUAAAAAUACUCAAAUUUAUUCAAAAUUUUACUUUUUUCUUUCAAAAUUAUUUUUAAUUUCAUCCUUAUUUUAUUUUUUUUAAUAAUUUAAAUAAAAUAAAAUAAAUUAUUUAUAUAAUUUUUAUAAAUAAAAAAGAUCAUCUCAAACUAAUUUUUGAGCUCAAGUAUUAUAUGGCAUGUGUGUGUGUGUGUGUAUAUAUAAGCUGAAGCAAAAAUUAGAAGUACCUUUUAAAUUUCUUCAGUUCAAAGCCGAAGUUAAAAAGAGAGAGCUGAAAGGAUUUAAAGUUUCUGAUGACUGAUUUAAGGAGUAAUGGUGUAAGUACAUAUGCAGAUAGUAUAAUUCCCUUCCAGUAUGUUUUAUCCUUG
Molecule: long non-coding RNA, 1582 nt
Filed under: Carica papaya (papaya)
Lineage: Eukaryota; Viridiplantae; Streptophyta; Magnoliopsida; Brassicales; Caricaceae
Description: long non-coding RNA (CPAP_LNC003025)
Source: RNAcentral